This 755-nucleotide ribosomal RNA is filed under the name uncultured Glomus. RNAcentral's name for it is "SSU rRNA". It matches the Rfam family "Eukaryotic small subunit ribosomal RNA", at positions 330 to 1087 of the family's 1831-position model. The record is from RNAcentral. Lineage: Eukaryota; Fungi; Glomeromycota; Glomeromycetes; Glomerales; Glomeraceae.
UAGAUAGAGGCCUACCAUGGUGGUAACGGGUAACGGGGUGUUAGGGCACGACACCGGAGAGGGAGCCUGAGAAACGGCUACCACAUCCAAGGAUGGCAGCAGGCGCGCAAAUUACCCAAUCCCGACACGGGGAGGUAGUGACAAUAAAUAACAAUACGGGGUUCUUUCGGAUUUCGUAAUUGGAAUGAGUACAAUUUAAAUCUCUUAACGAGGAACAAUUGGAGGGCAAGUCUGGUGCCAGCAGCCGCGGUAAUUCCAGCUCCAAUAGCGUAUAUUAAAGUUGUUGCAGUUAAAAAGCUCGUAGUUGAAUUUCGGGACUAAUAUGUCGGUCGUGCCUCGGUACGUACUGGUUUAUUGGUUUCUCCUUUCUGAAGAACCAUGAUGUCAUUUAUUUGGUGUCGUGGGGAAUCAGGACUGUUACUUUGAAAAAGUUAGAGUGUUUAAAGCAGGCUCACGCUUGAAUACAUUAGCAUGGAAUAGUGAAAUAGGACGUUUGAUUCUAUUUUGUUGGUUUCUAGGAUCGACGUAAUGAUUAAUAGGGAUAGUUGGGGGCAUUAUUAUUCAAUUGUCAGAGGUGAAAUUCUUGGAUUUAUUGAAGACUAACUACUGCGAGAGCAUUUGCCAAGGAUGUUUUCAUUAAUCAAGAACGAAAGUUAGGGGAUCGAAGACGAUCAGAUACCGUCGUAGUCUUAACCAUAAACUAUGCCGACUAGGGAUCGGGAUGAUGUUAAUUUUUUAAUGACUCAUUCGGCGCG